GGGAGGUAGGAGAGUUGAGGGAGGAGAGGUAGGAGAGUUGAGGGAGGAGCGGUACGAGAGUUGAGGGAGGAGAGUUGAGGGAGGAGAGGUAGGAGAGGAGAGGGAUGAGAGGUAGGAGAGGAGAGGUAGGAGAGUUGAGGGAGGAGUGGUAGGAGAGAAAAGGUAGGAGAGGAGAGGGAUGAGAGGAGAGGUAGGAGAGUUGAGGGAGGAGAAGAGAGGCAGGAGAGUUGAGGGAGGAGAGGUAGGAGAGGAACAGUAGGAGAGGGAGAGGAGAGGUAGGAAAGGAGAGGUAGGAGAGGCAUGAGAGGAGUGGUAGGAGAGUUCAGGGAGUAGAGGAGAGGCAUGAGAGGAGAGGUAGAAGAGCUGAGGUAGGAGAGGAGAGGCAUGAGAGGAGUGGUAGGAGAGUUCAGGGAGUAGAGGAGAGGCAUGAGAGGAGAGGUAGAAGAGCUGAGGUAGGAGAGGAGAGGCAUGAGAGGAGAGGUAGGAGAGUUGAGGUAGGAGGGUUGAGGGAGGAGAUGCAUGAGAGGAAAGGCAUGAGAGGAGAGGUAGGAGAGUAGAGGAAGGAGAGGAGAGGGAGGAGGGUUGAGGGAGGAGAGGAAAGGGAGGAGAGGAAAGAGACUAGAGUUGAGGGAGGAGAGGUAGGAGAGGAAAGGUAGGAGAGGAGAGGGAGGAGGGUUGAGGGAGGAGAGGGAGGAGAGGAAAGGUAGGAGAGUUGAGGGAGGAGAGGUAGGAGAGGCAUGAGAGGAGAGGUAGGAGAGUUGAAGGAGGAGAGGAAAGGGAGAAGAGUUGAGGGAGGAGAGGGAGAUGUAGGGUAGGAGGGUUGAGGGAGGUAAGGUGGGAGAGGAAUGAGAGGAGAGGUAGGAGAGUUGAGGGAGGAGAGGAGAGGCAUGAGAGGGGAGGUAGGAGAGGGGAGAGGAGAGGUAGGAGGGUUGAUGGAAGAGAGUUGAGGGAGGAGAUGCAUGAGAGGAAAGGCAUGAGCAGGUCUCUCAGGGCUCAUGUCAGCUGGUCUGUCUUGUU
Molecule: long non-coding RNA, 1017 nt
Filed under: Salmo salar (Atlantic salmon)
Lineage: Eukaryota; Metazoa; Chordata; Actinopteri; Salmoniformes; Salmonidae
Description: lncRNA (ENSSSAG00000088011.1)
Source: RNAcentral